RNAcentral lists this ribosomal RNA (485 nucleotides) under Kaistia adipata. Its description in RNAcentral is "bacterial SSU rRNA". It matches the Rfam family "Bacterial small subunit ribosomal RNA", at positions 373 to 876 of the family's 1533-position model. The record is from RNAcentral. Lineage: Bacteria; Pseudomonadati; Pseudomonadota; Alphaproteobacteria; Hyphomicrobiales; Kaistiaceae.
GGGCGCAAGCCUGAUCCAGCCAUGCCGCGUGUGUGAUGAAGGCCUUAGGGUUGUAAAGCACUUUCGCCGAUGAAGAUAAUGACUGUAGUCGGAGAAGAAGCCCCGGCUAACUUCGUGCCAGCAGCCGCGGUAAUACGAAGGGGGCUAGCGUUGUUCGGAAUUACUGGGCGUAAAGCGUACGUAGGCGGAUUGUUAAGUGAGGGGUGAAAUCCCGAGGCUCAACCUCGGAACUGCCUUUCAUACUGGCAAUCUUGAGUCCGGGAGAGGUGAGUGGAACUCCUAGUGUAGAGGUGAAAUUCGUAGAUAUUAGGAAGAACACCAGUGGCGAAGGCGGCUCACUGGCCCGGAACUGACGCUGAGGUACGAAAGCGUGGGGAGCAAACAGGAUUAGAUACCCUGGUAGUCCACGCCGUAAACGAUGGAUGCUAGCCGUCGGGGAGCUUGCUCUUCGGUGGCGCAGCUAACGCAUUAAGCAUCCCGCCUGG